This 85-nucleotide transfer RNA is filed under the name Felis catus (domestic cat). It matches the Rfam family "tRNA". Rfam says of the family: Transfer RNA (tRNA) molecules are approximately 80 nucleotides in length. The record is from Rfam by way of RNAcentral. RNAcentral also lists the same sequence under 2 other names. Lineage: Eukaryota; Metazoa; Chordata; Mammalia; Carnivora; Felidae.
GCCUGGAUGGCUCAGUCAGUUAAGCACCUGACUUCAGCUCAGGUCAUGAUCUCAGGAUUUGUGAGUUCGAGUCCCACAUCAGGCU